RNAcentral lists this ribosomal RNA (264 nucleotides) under uncultured Staphylococcus sp. Its description in RNAcentral is "partial 16S ribosomal RNA". It matches the Rfam family "Bacterial small subunit ribosomal RNA", at positions 98 to 356 of the family's 1533-position model. Lineage: Bacteria; Bacillati; Bacillota; Bacilli; Caryophanales; Staphylococcaceae. The record is from RNAcentral.
CGGGACGGGUGAGUAACACGUGGAUAACCUACCUAUAAGACUGGGGUAACUUCGGGAAACCGGAGCUAAUACCGGAUAAUAUAUUGAACCGCAUGGUUCAAUAGUGAAAGACGGUUUUGCUGUCACUUAUAGAUGGAUCCGCGCCGCAUUAGCUAGUUGGUAAGGUAACGGCUUACCAAGGCAACGAUGCGUAGCCGACCUGAGAGGGUGAUCGGCCACACUGGAACUGAGACACGGUCCAGACUCCUACGGGAGGCAGCAGCG